Epinephelus lanceolatus (giant grouper) is the source of this 4432-nucleotide RNA transcript. It is a transcript of the gene named activating signal cointegrator 1 complex subunit 1, with no coding region annotated. Lineage: Eukaryota; Metazoa; Chordata; Actinopteri; Perciformes; Serranidae. The record is from RefSeq and is a predicted model, not a curated record.
UGUGCUAGUAUUACUAUUAUGGGCUCAAAUCCGCGCAGUUGGUUUUGUUGUUUAUAUGUUUCUGCUUGCCACUAUUCACGACAAAGAAGGCGGUUUACGUUUGAAGCGGCGUCACUCUUGCCGUAGAGUUGAAACUAAUGGGGACGGGUCGUUUCCGUUAAUUUCCGUUUGUAGAUCUACUGAACAUGAAACGCCGCCGCUGUGUGUCGUAAAGCAGGGAAACCAACAUGUGAACGUCAACUGACAUGUACGUUAGGAGAAACUAGCUAGCUAAAGUGUUUAAAAAGCUACAAAAGCUAAUUUAUACGUCGUGUAGCUAGCAAUUUAGAGGGUUAUUAGUAUUGUUCGGUUAGCUUAAGUUCAGCUAACGUUAGCUAGUUGACACUGGAUGUUUAACGUCCAGCUCUUUUCAAUAUAAAUGAGCAACUAGCCAGCUAAAGUGUUGAAAAAGCUACAAAAGCUAAUUUACACCAUUUAUUUCGUGUAGGCAACUUGUUAUCGAGCAAUUUAGAGGUUUAUUAGUCUUGCUAGGUUAGCUUAAAGUUAGCUAACGUUAACUAGUUUACACUAUGGAUGUUUUACGUCCAGCUCUUAUCAAUAUACAUGGAAGAAUAUACCGGAGGAAUGUCAUUAAGGAAGAACAUUAUGAGGAAGAGGAAGAUAUGUCUUACAUGGGACCACCAGAGAGUGAAGACUUGGCAGAAGAUGAAUCCUGUGAUGCCAACUUCAUUGAGCAAACUGAUAAGGGAUACCGCUGUGCCAUUGAUGUGCCAAGUGUCCUUUACAAAUACAUCAUUGGGAAAAAAGGAGAGACACGCAGACGCCUGGAGUUUGAUACAAAGACAUCUAUCAGCAUCCCCAAACAAGGAGUGGAAGGACAGAUAGUUAUCACAGGUUCCCACAAAUCUGCGGUCUCAUCUGCAGUCACACGAGUCGAGGUCCUCAUUGAGAGUUUCCGGAAGAAGCAGCCUUUCACGCACUUCCUGUCAUUCCCUCUGAACGAUCCCAAAAUUCAAGAAGGAUUCCUGAGCUUUAAAGACGAGGUGUUGAAGCAGUGCUCACAGGAUAAUGGAAUAGAUGGAAGCAUCUUUCAGAACGCCGCAAAGCUUCACCUGACCAUCGGCACCCUGGCUCUGUUGAAUGACACAGAAGUGAGAAAAGCAUGUGAACACCUUCAGGAGUGUCAAAAUGUAAUCAGGGACAUCACAGAAGGGAAUCCACUGCAGGUGGAGGUGACGGGUAUAGAGUACAUGAACGAUGACCCAGCCAUGGUGGACGUCUUGUAUGCCAAAGUCAAUGUGAAAGACAAGUCAGACAAGCUGCAGGUGAUUGCCGACCGGCUGGUAGAGCACUUUGUCUCAGCGGGGCUGAUGGUCAGAGAGUGGGACAGGGUGAAGCUGCACGGCACUGUGAUGAACACUCUGUUCAGAAAGGACUCCACAGUUGAAGACACGGGCGUCCCAGGAAGACAAGCCUUGAGUGAAAGAGAGGCUUUUGAUGCCAGAAACAUUUUAAAGAAAUUUGGCACAUAUCAUUUUGGAGAGUUUGAGCUGAACACUGUCCUGCUGUCCCAGAGAUACUCGACAGAUUGUACAGGCUACUACACCUCCGCAGGAAGUGCCAGCUUCUCAUGAGCUUCAGCAGGGCUGAGCAGACUCUCAGGAUGACCCGUUCAUAUCUACAUAGGGAGCAGGUCCUUGUCCAUGGAGUCAGCCAUGUUGCACCACCAUGUUUCUACAGUAGCUCAGCACGGACAAACUAAACGCUGGCUCUAGAUAGGUCCGUGUGCGUUUUCACGUCCGGACUGUAGUUGGCAACAAGCAGUGUUGGAAAAACAGAUUUUUUUUAAACAUAAAACUGUUAUAUUCAGUGUUCAUUCCAGUUUAAAUCACUGGGUUGGUUUGUUUUGGAGAUUGACAGACCUCUGUGGAUAAUUCGGCUCCUGGUAAAAACCUCAUGAAGGUCUGGAUGUUAAGUUAUCUAAGAAAACAGGUAAGCACACAUUGGCAGGUGUAAGGCUAGCUGCCAAUCUGCGACAUGCCAGACAGGGAUUUGUAACAUGAAACUGCUUUAUUCAGUGUUUUUACCAGUUUUUAAUCACCUGGUUUGUUUGUUUUGGAGAGGAAGAGACCUCUGUGGAUAAUUAAGCUCAUAAUAAAAACUUCCUGAAUAAUGAACACUGAAGGAAUUUUUACCGGGAGAUGUUUCAGAUAGUUGCAAUAUGCAAUCCUCACCACUAGAUGCCACUAUAUCCCCCUAAAUCUCACACUUUGUUCCUUUAAAUACUGCUUGUCAGUGCUACGUGCGAAUAGGUCUUUAAAUCACUUGUUUUGUUCAACUAACAAAAUAAAAAGUUAUUUAAUUUACAAAGAUAUAAAACAGAAAAAAAAUGGAAGAUUUUUACAUCUGAGGAGCCAGCAAAUCAGCAAGUCACAUUUUAUCAGAAAUCAAAGUCAGAAAUUAACAAAAAUACUACAUACAGCAUUUUGUUUUUUCUAGAGAUCUUUUUACGGUGUGGGAAAUGAUUUGGAUUGAACUGGGUGAGCACGCCGCCCGGCAUACAUAUUUUUCUGUCCCUGCCACAUCCCUCACCCUAAUUAGUCAGCUUCGAGCUUCCUGCUGUGGGAACUUCCAACCUGACCCUUGAGAUUUCGAGACUAGCAUACAUCCCUUUCAAUAAGCCGGAUAAAUGAGACCUCAGUGUCUGUUUGUGUUACGGCAGACCCAUUUCCUCUGUGGAUCUGCAUCCUUAUUUCUGAAGAUCGGAGGAGACACAGGAGCUGGGUUUUAAUUAAAAUGUUAAACAGUUUAGUUGUCUGUGCAGGCAUGUGUGCAUAUGUGCUUGUUUACAUACAUUGGUGAGCCUUACGAUUAAAUAAAACAACAGUUUAUUUACUUUUUCCCCCUUGUGAAAAUUGUAGAAAGAAAAAGCUGUGAUUUUAAAAAGAAGUGAAAGCAAAGAAAUCACUCCAAUAAGCUCGUAAAGCUCACAAUGAACCUCGCAAUAAUGAGAAUUAAUUCAUGUUUGGUAAGUCUUGUUUUAUCUCAAGCAAGUAUUGUUUAGGCCUCCAUCCAAUUUGCAUAUUUAAUUUCAUGCCAGUUUUCACAGUAGCCAUUUUUUAUGCAGACUCUGUUUGAAAUAGGUCUUACUUGAUCAGUGUCAAACUUCUUUAUAGCACAUUUUGAUAUUCAGAACCACACUGUGCAAUUUCUCAAAGCGUGAUUAGAAAUUAAGCGUUCAUUCAGAGGAGCCAGCGUUAACAUCUGCUGGGGGAAACAAAAAAGACGAUGUUUGACAGACGUGACCUUUUAAUACAGUAGAUAUGUUUGAUUUGUGUGCUCGGAGUAAUAACACACAUGAAAUCGAUUAAGCACCUAAUUACUUUUUAAGGUCACGGUUAAGUUUUACCCAUAUGUGCCUUAAAGCUGGAAUGCUGAUCAGGUUCGUAGAAUAUUUUAAUCCAAAUCCAAUUAACUGAGAGGGUGAACUUGACAGUAAGGAAGCACUAAGAUGACAUUUAAGUUGGUUGCUUUGCACUCCUGGUGUCAUGUUUUCCACUUAACAAGCUUGAAUCAUAAGCUUGCUUUAAGAAGGUCUUUUGAUCGAUCAAACACAUCUAUCCACGAGAAGCUACAAAGGUGAAAAUGAUCCUGCCAGACUAAGCCAGCGAAUCUUUCAAAUUGGAUAUUGUUAGCGGUGAAAUAUGACAGCGCGCCUUGCCUUUGAUUGUUCUCUCAUGUUGGAAGUGACUCUCCAGCUGAGUGUCAGCGCAGUUUGAAUGUCACACUAAUCACUCUGUCACUUAAUGGGCACGAGCGGCCUUGACGGACAGCCAAGGCGAGAGUAUUUGAAAUGUCUAAUCUGUGUCUCCAGCGAGGAGGCAGGUGAUCCCUGCAGCAGCUCUUUAUCAUUCAGAACGCCGAGUCUGGAGGCUGCCUGCAGCUGUCCACGUCUGUUUACUGCUGGAGGCAUUCACACAGGGAGGAGAGGCACAAAGCCCGGUGUGUUUGAACAGCAGGUCAUGGAUGAGGAUUUCCCAUCAGAUGAUGAACACGAACGGACUCACAACAACGUCUCUUUGCAUCUUUGCUGAAUCUUGUUGAAAUCAGUCGGAAAAUGAACAUUUGUUUGGGUUGUGUUUUUCUUUCAUGGUGACAGGAGGUGCUACAUUUUAACAUUCUGCUUAAAUCUGGCGGGGAUGAAUAAAUAAAUGUGUAAAGCAUCCACCCUUGGCCUUUUGCAAUUAAUUGUUGUGUACCAGGGAUUCCUGAAGCGAUCCUCGCGGAGUUGUUACAUCAAGUGAGAAUACGUACUGCCACGAUAAGCGGCGGAGCUCGUGUUGGGCCUUAUGAGCUGUUUGUAAGACAUAAAACAGGAUGUGUUUGCUUUGCAGAUGGCAAAUAUUUACAGAUAAACAACCUUUUAAAUUUU